CGAGAGUUUGUAACACCCGAAGCCGGUGGAGUAACCUUUUAGGAGCUAGCCGUCGAAGGUGGGACAAAUGAUUGGGGUGAAGUCGUAACAAGGUAGCCGUAUCGGAAGGUGCGGCUGGAUCACCUCCUUUCUAAGGA
This 137-nucleotide ribosomal RNA is filed under the name Staphylococcus aureus. RNAcentral describes it as "partial 16S ribosomal RNA". It matches the Rfam family "Bacterial small subunit ribosomal RNA", at positions 1405 to 1533 of the family's 1533-position model. The record is from RNAcentral. Lineage: Bacteria; Bacillati; Bacillota; Bacilli; Caryophanales; Staphylococcaceae.